UUAGUGGCAGACGGGUGAGUAAUGCGUAGGAAUCUACCUAGUAGUACGGAAUAGCCAUUAGAAAUGGUGGGUAAUACUGUAUAAUCCCCGAGGGGGAAAGAUUUAUCGCUAUUAGAUGAGCCUACGUUAGAUUAGCUAGUUGGUGAGGUAAUGGCUUACCAAGGCUAUGAUCUAUAGCUGGUCUGAGAGGACGAUCAGCCACACUGGAACUGAGAUACGGUCCAGACUCCUACGGGAGGCAGCAGUGGGGAAUAUUGGACAAUGGGCGAAAGCCUGAUCCAGCUAUGCCGCGUGAGUGAAGAAGGCCUUCGGGUUGUAAA
This 320-nucleotide ribosomal RNA is filed under the name Ehrlichia canis. RNAcentral describes it as "bacterial SSU rRNA". It matches the Rfam family "Bacterial small subunit ribosomal RNA", at positions 92 to 429 of the family's 1533-position model. Lineage: Bacteria; Pseudomonadati; Pseudomonadota; Alphaproteobacteria; Rickettsiales; Anaplasmataceae. RNAcentral also lists the same sequence under 1 other name. The record is from RNAcentral.